This 391-nucleotide ribosomal RNA is filed under the name uncultured Chrysophyceae. RNAcentral describes it as "partial small subunit ribosomal RNA". It matches the Rfam family "Eukaryotic small subunit ribosomal RNA", at positions 30 to 432 of the family's 1831-position model. Lineage: Eukaryota; Chrysophyceae. The record is from RNAcentral.
GCUUGUCUCAAAGAUUAAGCCAUGCAUGUCUAAGUAUAAGCACCCUUAUACUGCGAAACUGCGUACAGCUCAUUAUAUCAGCAAUUAUUUAUUUGAAGGUCACCUAUUACAUGGAUAACCGUGGUAAUUCUAGAGCUAAUACAUGCAUUAAACCCCGACUUCUGGAAGGGGUGUAUUUAUUAGAUGGAAACCAAUGCGGGGUAACCCGGAAUAUGGUGAUUCAUAAUAACUUUCGGAUCGAUUUAUCGAUGCAUCAUUCAAGUUUCUGCCCUAUCAGCUUUGGAUGGUAGGGUAUUGGCCUACCAUGGCUUUAACGGGUAACGGAGAAUUAGGGUUCGAUUCCGGAGAGGGAGCCUGAGAAAUGGCUACCACAUCCAAGGAAGGCAGCAGG